RNAcentral lists this ribosomal RNA (253 nucleotides) under uncultured bacterium. RNAcentral describes it as "partial 16S ribosomal RNA". It matches the Rfam family "Bacterial small subunit ribosomal RNA", at positions 524 to 776 of the family's 1533-position model. The record is from RNAcentral.
UACAGAGGUCUCAAGCGUUGUUCGGAUUCAUUGGGCGUAAAGGGCGUGUAGGUGGCGCGCUAAGUCGAGUGUGAAAUUUCGGAGCUUAACUCCGAAACUGCAUUCGAUACUGGCGUGCUUGAGGACUGGAGAGGAGACUGGAAUUUACGGUGUAGCAGUGAAAUGCGUAGAUAUCGUAAGGAAGACCAGUGGCGAAGGCGGGUCUCUGGACAGUUCCUGACACUGAGACACGAAGGCCAGGGGAGCAAACGGG